AGAGUUUGAUCAUGGCUCAGAACGAACGCUGGCGGCGUGCCUAACACAUGCAAGUCGAACGGAUUUGAGGGGCUUGCUCCUCAAGUUAGUGGCGCACGGGUGAGUAACGCGUAGAUAAUCUGCCUGAUGAUCCGGGAUAACACUUCGAAAGGGGUGCUAAUACCGGAUAAGCCCACGGGGUCUUUGGACUCUGCGGGAAAAGGGGGGGACCUUCGGGCCUUCUGUCAUCAGAUGAGUCUGCGUACCAUUAGCUAGUUGGUAGGGUAAUGGCCUACCAAGGCUACGAUGGUUAGCUGGUUUGAGAGAAUGAUCAGCCACACUGGAACUGAGACACGGUCCAGACUCCUACGGGAGGCAGCAGUGGGGAAUUUUGCGCAAUGGGCGAAAGCCUGACGCAGCAACGCCGCGUGAGUGAUGAAGGCUUUCGGGUCGUAAAGCUCUGUCGAGGGGAAAGAAGUGUAUUGUGGCUAAUAUCCACGAUACUUGACGGUACCCCUAAAGGAAGCACCGGCUAACUCCGUGCCAGCAGCCGCGGUAAUACGGGGGGUGCAAGCGUUGUUCGGAAUUAUUGGGCGUAAAGAGCGUGUAGGCGGUUUGUUAAGUCUGAUGUGAAAGCCCUGGGCUCAACCCAGGAAGUGCAUUGGAAACUGGCAGACUUGAAUACGGGAGAGGGCAGUGGAAUUCCUAGUGUAGGAGUGAAAUCCGUAGAUAUUAGGAGGAACACCGGUGGCGAAGGCGGCUGCCUGGACCGAUAUUGACGCUGAGACGCGAAAGCGUGGGUAGCAAACAGGAUUAGAUACCCUAGUAGUCC
This 811-nucleotide ribosomal RNA is filed under the name uncultured bacterium. RNAcentral's name for it is "bacterial SSU rRNA". It matches the Rfam family "Bacterial small subunit ribosomal RNA", at positions 8 to 796 of the family's 1533-position model. The record is from RNAcentral.